RNAcentral lists this ribosomal RNA (257 nucleotides) under uncultured bacterium. RNAcentral's name for it is "partial 16S ribosomal RNA". It matches the Rfam family "Bacterial small subunit ribosomal RNA", at positions 524 to 777 of the family's 1533-position model. The record is from RNAcentral.
GACAGAGGGUGCAAACGUUUGUUCGGAAUUACUGGGCGUAAAGCGCGUGUAGGCGGCUAAGUAAGUCGGGCGUGAAAUCCCACGGCUCAACCGUGGAAGUGCACUCGAAACUGCAUAGCUAGAGUCCUGGAGAGGAAGGUGGAAUGCUUGGUGUAGAGGUGAAAUUCGUAGAUAUCAAGCGGAACACCGGUGGCGAAGGCGGCCUUCUGGACAGUGACUGACGCUGAGACGCGAAAAGCGGUGGGGAGCAAACAGGG